ACCUGGUGUGGUGGCAAGUGUCUGUAGUCUCAGCUACGCGGGAGGCUUAGGUGGGAGGACUGCUUGAGCCCGGGAGGACUGCUUGAGCCCAGGAGUCCUGGGCUGCAUGCGUUAUGCCGAUCGGGUGUCCGCACUAAGUUUGGCAUCAAUAUGCUGACCUCCCGGGAAUGGGGGACCACCAGGUUGCCUAAGAAGGGGUGAACUGGUCCAGGUUGGAAAUGGAGCAGGUGGAAAUUCCUGUACUGAUCAGCAGUGGGAUCAUGCCCGCGAAGAGCCACUGAACUCUAGCCUGGGCAAUAUAGUAAGACCCCAUCUCUU
Molecule: non-coding RNA, 318 nt
Organism: Homo sapiens (human)
Lineage: Eukaryota; Metazoa; Chordata; Mammalia; Primates; Hominidae
Rfam family: Metazoan signal recognition particle RNA
About the family: The signal recognition particle (SRP) is a universally conserved ribonucleoprotein. It is involved in the co-translational targeting of proteins to membranes.
Source: Rfam